GCACGUAGUUAGCCGAGACUUAUUCCUGUGCUACCGUCCACUCUCGUCACACAGAAAAGGAUUUUACAGUCCGAAAACCUUCUUCAUCCACGCGGCGUCGCUGCUUCAGGCUUGCGCCCAUUGAGCAAUAUUCCUCACUGCUGCCUCCCGUAGGAGUCUGGGCCGUGUCUCAGUCCCAGUGUGGGGGGUCACCCUCUCAGGUCCCCUAGCCGUCGUCGCCUUGGUAAGCCAUUACCUUACCAACUAGCUGAUGGCUCGCAGCCCCAUCCUCAAGCGUUAAAAACUUUUCUUAUAGGUCUCUACAACCCGUAAGCUUAUCAGGUAUUAGCACUAGUUUCCUAGUGUUAUCCCUGUCUUGAGGGCAGGUUAGCUACGUGUUACUCACCCGUGCGCCACUCUCUUGCGAGCGUUCGACUUGCAUGUGUUAGGCACGCCGCCAGCGUUCAUC
This 448-nucleotide ribosomal RNA is filed under the name uncultured bacterium. RNAcentral's name for it is "partial 16S rRNA". The record is from RNAcentral.